ACUUUAGAGGAAAUAAUUCACAGGCAAUGCUUUCCCCUCAGCCUUUAAUUGGAUGUUUUUCCAGCCAUACAUCUCUGCAUCCAAGUCCCACAAGAGCAAGCAAGUGCCUUCAUAACAAGACAAAAAAAAAAGACAAAAUAUUCACUAAAGCAAAAGCCAAACCUUACAGAAACUACUCUAAAAGAGAAAGCACCAUGUGAAUAAGCAAGUUUCAAUGUUCUCAGUGAACACUAGUCUUGGUAUCUUCUACAUGCUCAUCAAAGGAAAUUUUUUAAUCAAAAAUCCAGUUAUUGAAGAGCCCCAUAAGCCAACCGAUGCUGGUGAGACUGGAGGAAGCAUAGGCAUUAAGUCUCUCCUGGUUAUUCCCUCUUCCACCUUCACCCACUCCCAGUCAGAGUUCAAAACUGAAACCUCCUCCAACUGAGAGUAAAUGCAUGUGACCUUCAGUUCCACAGAGGUUAACCUACUCUGAUUAACUUUUCCAUGUUAUUCCAUUAAAUAAAAACAGUUUUGACACCCAGAGACUAAAGCAUCCUAGAGAUAAUAUAAUAACC
RNAcentral lists this long non-coding RNA (554 nucleotides) under Homo sapiens (human). RNAcentral's name for it is "HSALNT0273188". Lineage: Eukaryota; Metazoa; Chordata; Mammalia; Primates; Hominidae. The record is from RNAcentral.